This 440-nucleotide ribosomal RNA is filed under the name uncultured bacterium. RNAcentral describes it as "partial 16S ribosomal RNA". It matches the Rfam family "Bacterial small subunit ribosomal RNA", at positions 338 to 795 of the family's 1533-position model. The record is from RNAcentral.
CCUACGGGAGGCAGCAGUAGGGAAUAUUGCUCAAUGGGGGAAACCCUGAAGCAGCAACGCCGCGUGGAGGAUGAAGGUUUUCGGAUUGUAAACUCCUUUUGUUAGAGAAGAUAAUGACGGUAUCUAACGAAUAAGCACCGGCUAACUCCGUGCCAGCAGCCGCGGUAAUACGGAGGGUGCAAGCGUUACUCGGAAUCACUGGGCGUAAAGAGCGCGUAGGCGGGAUAGCAAGUCAGAUGUGAAAUCCUAGGGCUUAACCAUAGAACUGCAUUUGAAACUGUUAUUCUAGAGUAUGGGAGAGGGAGGUGGAAUGCUUGGUGUAGGGGUAAAAUCCGUAGAGAUCAAGAGGAAUACUCAGUGCGAAGGCGACCUGCUAGAACAUAACUGACGCUGAUGCGCGAAAGCGUGGGGAGCAAACAGGAUUAGAUACCCGGGUAGUC